This 216-nucleotide unclassified non-coding RNA is filed under the name Hevea brasiliensis (rubber tree). The record is from RNAcentral. Lineage: Eukaryota; Viridiplantae; Streptophyta; Magnoliopsida; Malpighiales; Euphorbiaceae.
GUGAAACAAGGGUUGCAAUUAGUAGCGGAAUUUCACAUGUAGGAGGAAUUUGGAACUUGAUAGUGACCUUUUGACCCUUUACGGCAACAGUAAAACGAGGGUAAGAACCAUACUUCACUCCUUUGCUCUUGAGCAAGUUUUCCAAUCUGAGUCUCUCCCUUUUUGCUGUUUCUUCAAGGGGAUUGUAGCUUGGAAUUGGAAGGGAAUCAAAAGGCG